This 165-nucleotide ribosomal RNA is filed under the name uncultured Alcaligenes sp. RNAcentral describes it as "partial 16S ribosomal RNA". Lineage: Bacteria; Pseudomonadati; Pseudomonadota; Betaproteobacteria; Burkholderiales; Alcaligenaceae. The record is from RNAcentral.
CACAACUAAUAGAGAACUCUGAGCAGCCCGCUCGCGUGAAUGAUGAAUGCCUUAUGAUUUGUAACAUUUUUUAUAAGGGAAUCAGGGAUCUCCUAGUACCUUAGACUGUUGACGGUAUCUGCAUAAUAAGCACCGGCUAACUACGUGCCAGCAGCCGCGGUAAUA